ACGGGAGGCAGCAGUGAGGAAUAUUGGUCAAUGGGCGGAAGCCUGAACCAGCCAUGCCGCGUGAAGGAAUGAGGUCCUAUGGAUUGUAAACUUCUUUUGUGCGGGAGCAAUAAGCGCCACGAGUGGCGUGAUGAGAGUACCGUACGAAUAAGCAUCGGCUAACUCCGUGCCAGCAGCCGCGGUAAUACGGAGGAUGCAAGCGUUAUCCGGAUUUAUUGGGUUUAAAGGGUGCGUAGGCUGUGCGACAAGUCAGUGGUGAAAGCCCGUUGCCUAACUACGGAACUGCCAUUGAUACUGCCGUGCUUGAAUCCUGUUGCCGUGGGAGGAAUGAGUAGUGUAGCGGUGAAAUGCAUAGAUAUUACUCAGAACACCGAUUGCGAAGGCAUCUCACGAAGCAGGUAUUGACGCUGAGGCACGAAAGCGUGGGGAUCAAACAGGAUUAGAUACCCUGGUA
Molecule: ribosomal RNA, 454 nt
Filed under: uncultured bacterium
Lineage: Bacteria
Description: partial 16S ribosomal RNA
Rfam family: Bacterial small subunit ribosomal RNA
Source: RNAcentral